RNAcentral lists this ribosomal RNA (310 nucleotides) under uncultured bacterium. RNAcentral describes it as "partial 16S ribosomal RNA". It matches the Rfam family "Bacterial small subunit ribosomal RNA", at positions 503 to 807 of the family's 1533-position model. The record is from RNAcentral.
AAGAGACAGCAGCCGCCGCGGUAAUACGUAGGGUGCAAGCGUUAAUCGGAAUUACUGGGCGUAAAGCGUGCGCAGGCGGUUAUAUAAGACAGAUGUGAAAUCCCCGGGCUCAACCUGGGAACUGCAUUUGUGACUGUAUAGCUAGAGUACGGCAGAGGGGGAUGGAAUUCCGCGUGUAGCAGUGAAAUGCGUAGAUAUGCGGAGGAACACCGAUGGCGAAGGCAAUCCCCUGGGCCUGUACUGACGCUCAUGCACGAAAGCGUGGGGAGCAAACAGGAUUAGAUACCCCAGUAGUCCCUGUCUCUUAUAC